GCUUGUCUCAAAGAUUAAGCCAUGCAUGUCUAAGUAUAAACAACUUUGUACUGUGAAACUGCGAAUGGCUCAUUAUAUCAGUUAUAGUCUACCCGACAGUACCUUACUACUUGGAUACCCGUAGUAAUUCUAGAGCUAAUACAUGCAUCAAUACCUGACUGCUUGCGGAAAGGUAGCAUUUAUUAGAUUGAAACCAAUCCUUUCGGGGUUUGUGUUGAUUCAUAAUAACUGUGCUGAUCGCUUCGAGCGAUAUGUCGGUUGAGUUUCUGCCCUAUCAGCUUUGGAUGGUAAGAUAUAGGCUUACCAUGGCGUUAACGGGUAACGGGGAAUUAGGGUUUGAUUCCGGAGAGGGCGCCUGAGAAAUGGCGACCACAUCCAAGGAAGGCAGCAGG
This 392-nucleotide ribosomal RNA is filed under the name Aphanomyces invadans. RNAcentral's name for it is "partial small subunit ribosomal RNA". It matches the Rfam family "Eukaryotic small subunit ribosomal RNA", at positions 30 to 432 of the family's 1831-position model. Lineage: Eukaryota; Oomycota; Saprolegniomycetes; Saprolegniales; Verrucalvaceae. The record is from RNAcentral.